UGGAAUAGGAAGUGUCUUGGUCUUCUAAAACAUUUCAAUCCAAAAACGAGAUAUGUUUCAUCUAUUUCAGUAUCAUUAUAAUUAUUGUGUAAGAAAAAAUGGUCUAACACAUAUAAAAAUUAGGAUGAAAAGUGUUUCUAUUAAAUAAAAAUUAUAACAUGAAUGAAUGAUAAUAAUUAAAAUAAUAUAAUGUCAGAGAACAUGUUCAAUAUAAAAAAGAAACUAAAAUAGGACAAAAUAUAAACAAACAUCAAAUUAUAAACUAAACAAAUAUAAUCUUCAUGCUUGAAGGUGAAGAAACC
This 302-nucleotide long non-coding RNA is filed under the name Brassica rapa (field mustard). RNAcentral's name for it is "long non-coding RNA (BRAP_LNC005302)". The record is from RNAcentral. Lineage: Eukaryota; Viridiplantae; Streptophyta; Magnoliopsida; Brassicales; Brassicaceae.